This is a long non-coding RNA of Portunus trituberculatus (swimming crab), 161 nucleotides long. RefSeq lists it as uncharacterized. The transcript has 3 exons. NCBI's taxonomy places the organism in Eukaryota, Metazoa, Arthropoda, Malacostraca, Decapoda, Portunidae. The record is from RefSeq and is a predicted model, not a curated record.
AGAGAGAGAGAGAGAGAGAGAGAGAGAGAGAGAGAGAGAGAGAGAGAGAGAGAGAGAGAGAGAGAGAGAGUAAGGAUGGUGAAUAAAGUGAGAUUCUCUGAUCUUGAUCCUUCUAAUAUUGUUGUGGGGGACAAAAUGAAGGAAGAGGGAAAGAAACAAGG